Molecule: long non-coding RNA, 522 nt
Organism: Dreissena polymorpha
Lineage: Eukaryota; Metazoa; Mollusca; Bivalvia; Myida; Dreissenidae
Exons: 2
Source: RefSeq, a predicted model, not a curated record
UAUAGACGAGUUAACGCGUGACGUCACACGCACCUGCAAAGUUUAGACUCCGCCCACUGGUUGGCAAAAAGAGGUGGAAUUCAUAUAAGCGCAUAUAGAGAAGGUUGACAUUAUCAUCGUUUUUACUGAUAAUCAUGAACUGUAUCAAAUAUAAUUUUACUAUUUAUGUCUGAAUAAAACAUAAGCAUGCGUGGAAAUUCAUUUUUUGAACGAUUAUAUUGUUGUUAUUAUUUGUUUUUACUAAAAACGAGCUCUGGAGUGGAACGUACACUAUCUACGAGCUCGGUAUGUGGUUACCACAAAAAUCUCUACUAACCGCAUUUUCACGUCCAUUUUAGAUACAAAAUUUCAGAAAUGUAAAUUCGUUUAGAAUAAAUUAAAUUUAAUGAAAGAACACAAAUAAGGAUGGAAACAAACAACAAAUAGAUCGCUUUUUGUUCGCAACAUAUAGUAACUGAUUUUAAUCUUAAUAUAUCUGUACAAACUUACCUUGUUACACAACAAAUAAAUUCAUAAAUCUAA